Molecule: ribosomal RNA, 301 nt
Filed under: uncultured bacterium
Lineage: Bacteria
Description: partial 16S ribosomal RNA
Rfam family: Bacterial small subunit ribosomal RNA
Source: RNAcentral
CAGCAGCCGCGGUAAUACGAAGGGGGCUAGCGUUGCUCGGAAUUACUGGGCGUAAAGGGAGCGUAGGCGGAUCGUUAAGUUGGGGGUGAAAGCCCGGGGCUCAACCUCGGAAUUGCCUUCAAUACUGGCGAUCUUGAGUAUGGAAGAGGUAUGUGGAACUCCGAGUGUAGAGGUGAAAUUCGUAGAUAUUCGGAAGAACACCAGUGGCGAAGGCGACAUACUGGUCCAUUACUGACGCUGAGGCUCGAAAGCGUGGGGAGCAAACAGGAUUAGAUACCCCUGUAGUCCCUGUCUCUUAUAC